Molecule: ribosomal RNA, 459 nt
Filed under: uncultured bacterium
Lineage: Bacteria
Description: partial 16S ribosomal RNA
Rfam family: Bacterial small subunit ribosomal RNA
Source: RNAcentral
CCUACGGGUGGCUGCAGUGAGGAAUAUUGGUCAAUGGCCGGAAGGCUGAACCAGCCAUGCAGCGUGAAGGUUAGUGCCCCAUGGGCGUUAAACCUCCUUUGUGCGGGAGCAAUAAUGGUCACGUGUGGCCAGACGAGAGUACCGUACGAAUAAGCAUCGGCUAACUCCGUGCCAGCAGCCGCGGUAAUACGGGGGAUGCAAGCGUUAUCCGGAUUUAUUGGGUUUAAAGGGUGCGUAGGCGGAGAAGCAAGUUAGUUGUGAAAUCCCUCGGCUUAACUGAGGAACUGCAACUAAAACUAGUUCCCUUGAGUACUGGAGAGGAAGGUGGAAUUCCUGGUGUAGCGGUGAAAUGCGUAGAUAUUAGGAAGAACCCCGGUGGCGAAGGCGACUUUCUGGACAGUAACUGACGUUGAGGCACGAAAGUGUGGGGAGCAAACAGGAUUAGAUACCCCGGUAGUC